GCCUGGGUGGCUCAGUUGGUUGAGCGUCUGACUCUGUUUCACCUCAUGAUCAUGAUGAUGAUCUCACAGUUUGUGGGUUCAAGCCCCACAUCAGGCU
Molecule: transfer RNA, 97 nt
Filed under: Felis catus (domestic cat)
Lineage: Eukaryota; Metazoa; Chordata; Mammalia; Carnivora; Felidae
Rfam family: tRNA
About the family: Transfer RNA (tRNA) molecules are approximately 80 nucleotides in length. Their secondary structure includes four short double-helical elements and three loops (D, anti-codon, and T loops).
Source: Rfam by way of RNAcentral